AUGUCGGGAAGGGAUAAACGCUGAAAGCAUCUAAGCGUGAAGCCCACCUCAAGAUUAGAUUUCCCAUAGUUUAACUAGUAAGAUCCCUGGAAGACUACCAGGUUGAUAGGUCAGAGGUGUAAGUGCAGUAAUGCAUUAAGCUGACUGAUACUAAUAGAUCGAGGACUUGAUCAA
RNAcentral lists this ribosomal RNA (174 nucleotides) under Clostridium thermopalmarium DSM 5974. Its description in RNAcentral is "partial 23S ribosomal RNA". It matches the Rfam family "Bacterial large subunit ribosomal RNA", at positions 2751 to 2925 of the family's 2925-position model. Lineage: Bacteria; Bacillati; Bacillota; Clostridia; Eubacteriales; Clostridiaceae. The record is from RNAcentral.